GUCUGCAUGGAGCCGACCUUGAAAUACCACCCUUUAAUGUUUGAUGUUCUAACGUGGACCCGUGAUCCGGGUUGCGGACAGUGUCUGGUGGGUAGUUUGACUGGGGCGGUCUCCUCCUAAAGAGUAACGGAGGAGCACGAAGGUUGGCUAAUCCUGGUCGGACAUCAGGAGGUUAGUGCAAUGGCAUAAGCCAGCUUGACUGCGAGCGUGACGGCGCGAGCAGGUGCGAAAGCAGGUCAUAGUGAUCCGGUGGUUCUGAAUGGAAGGGCCAUCGCUCAACGGAUAAAAGGUACUCCGGGGAUAACAGGCUGAUACCGCCCAAGAGUUCAUAUCGACGGCGGUGUUUGGCACCUCGAUGUCGGCUCAUCACAUCCUGGGGCUGAAGUAGGUCCCAAGGGUAUGGCUGUUCGCCAUUUAAAGUGGUACGCGAGCUGGGUUUAGAACGUCGUGAGACAGUUCGGUCCCUAUCUGCCGUGGGCGCUGGAGAACUGAGGGGGGCUGCUCCUAGUACGAGAGGACCGGAGUGGACGCAUCACUGGUGUUCGGGUUGUCAUGCCAAUGGCACUGCCCGGUAGCUAAAUGCGGAAGAGAUAAGUGCUGAAAGCAUCUAAGCACGAAACUUGCCCCGAGAUGAGUUCUCCCUGAGACUUAGAGUCUCCUGAAGGAACGUUGAAGACGACGACGUUGAUAGGCCGGGUGUGUAAGCGCAGCGAUGCGUUGAGCUAACCGGUACUAAUGAACCGUGAGGCUUAACCUU
This 757-nucleotide ribosomal RNA is filed under the name Salmonella enterica. RNAcentral's name for it is "partial 23S ribosomal RNA". It matches the Rfam family "Bacterial large subunit ribosomal RNA", at positions 2174 to 2925 of the family's 2925-position model. Lineage: Bacteria; Pseudomonadati; Pseudomonadota; Gammaproteobacteria; Enterobacterales; Enterobacteriaceae. RNAcentral also lists the same sequence under 1 other name. The record is from RNAcentral.